GAUGAACGCUGGCGGCGUGCUUAACACAUGCAAGUCGAACGAGGAAGCCCAGCUUGCUGGGUGGAUUAGUGGCGAACGGGUAAGUAACACGUGAGUAACCUGCCCCUAACUCUGGGAUAAGCCUGGGAAACUGGGUCUAAUACCGGAUAGGAGCGUGCACCGCCCGGUGGGUGUUGGCAAGAUUGAUCGGCUUUGGAGGGACUCACGGCGUAUCAGCUUGUUGGUGGGGUAAUGGCUCACCAAGGAGACGACGAGUAGCCGGCCUGAGGGGGCGACCGGCCGCACUAGGACUGAGAAGCCGCCGAGACUCCUACGGGGGGCAGCAGCAGGGAAUAAUGCACAAUAGGCGGAGGACUGAUGCAGCAGCGCCGCGUGGGGGAGGACGGCCUUCGGGUUGUAAACCUCUUUCAGUAGGGAAGAAGCGACAGUGACGGUACCUGGAGAAGAAGCACCGGCUAACUACGUG
RNAcentral lists this ribosomal RNA (466 nucleotides) under uncultured bacterium. RNAcentral's name for it is "partial 16S ribosomal RNA". It matches the Rfam family "Bacterial small subunit ribosomal RNA", at positions 28 to 507 of the family's 1533-position model. The record is from RNAcentral.